CCACAAUUCUAAUUUCCGCAAUUCUAUGGCACAUCCUGGCAACAAGGAUUUGGUGCAUAGGCAGCAAUUCUACUUCUGGAUGAACUAUAAGAAUAACAGGCUGAAACACAUUAUAGCAAAGUCUCAACUUCAAGCUGCUGCUGCAACCCCAGCUUCUGUUCCUCCACAUUAAUGGAGGGCACGGGGGGGUGGGGUAAGAGCUAAUCUUUGAUUUUCUUUGUUUGAAGCAGGGUAUUCAAGUAUCUUUGAAGGCAGUAAACUCGCCAUAUUCUCAACAGGUUGUUUGGAUAC
Juglans microcarpa x Juglans regia is the source of this 291-nucleotide long non-coding RNA. RefSeq lists it as uncharacterized. The record is from RefSeq and is a predicted model, not a curated record. The transcript has 2 exons. Lineage: Eukaryota; Viridiplantae; Streptophyta; Magnoliopsida; Fagales; Juglandaceae.